UGUGGCGUUGCCCAGACAACUAGGAUGUUGGCUUAGAAGCAGCCAUCAUUUAAAGAGUGCGUAAUAGCUCACUAGUCGAGUGACACUGCGCCGAAAAUGUACCGGGGCUAAACAUAUUACCGAAGCUGUGGAUUGUCCUUUGGACAAUGGUAGGAGAGCGUUCUAAGGGCGUCGAAGCAUGAUCGCAAGGACAUGUGGAGCGCUUAGAAGUGAGAAUGCCGGUGUGAGUAGCGAAAGACGGGUGAGAAUCCCGUCCACCGAUUGACUAAGGUUUCCAGAGGAAGGCUCGUCCGCUCUGGGUUAGUCGGGUCCUAAGCUGAGGCCGACAGGCGUAGGCGAUGGAUAACAGGUUGAUAUUCCUGUACCACCUAGUAUCGUUUUAAUCGAUGGGGGGACGCAGUAGGAUAGGCGAAGCGUGCUGUUGGAGUGCACGUCCAAGCAGUAAGGCUGAGUGUUAGGCAAAUCCGGCACUCAUAAGGCUGAGCUGUGAUGGGGAGAGGAAAUUGUUUCCUCGAGUCGUUGAUUUCACACUGCCGAGAAAAGCCUCUAGAUAGAUAACAGGUGCCCGUACCGCAAACCGACACAGGUAGUCAAGAUGAGAAUUCUAAGGUGAGCGAGCGAACUCUCGUUAAGGAACUCGGCAAAAUGACCCCGUAACUUCGGGAGAAGGGGUGCUCUUUAGGGUUCACGCCCAGAAGAGCCGCAGUGAAUAGGCCCAAGCGACUGUUUAUCAAAAACACAGGUCUCUGCUAAACCGUAAGGUGAUGUAUAGGGGCUGACGCCUGCCCGGUGCUGGAAGGUUAAGAGGAGUGGUUAGCUUCUGCGAAGCUACGAAUCGAAGCCCCAGUAAACGGCGGCCGUAACUAUAACGGUCCUAAGGUAGCGAAAUUCCUUGUCGGGUAAGUUCCGACCCGCACGAAAGGCGUAACGAUUUGGGCACUGUCUCAACGAGAGACUCGGUGAAAUCAUAGUACCUGUGAAGAUGCAGGUUACCCGCGACAGGACGGAAAGACCCCGUGGAGCUUUACUGUAGCCUGAUAUUGAAAUUCGGCACAGCUUGUACAGGAUAGGUAGGAGCCUUUGAAACGUGAGCGCUAGCUUACGUGGAGGCGUUGGUGGGAUACUACCCUAGCUGUGUUGGCUUUCUAACCCGCACCACUUAUCGUGGUGGGAGACAGUGUCAGGCGGGCAGUUUGACUGGGGCGGUCGCCUCCUAAAAGGUAACGGAGGCGCUCAAAGGUUCCCUCAGAAUGGUUGGAAAUCAUUCAUAGAGUGUAAAGGCAUAAGGGAGCUUGACUGCGAGACCUACAAGUCGAGCAGGGUCGAAAGACGGACUUAGUGAUCCGGUGGUUCCGCAUGGAAGGGCCAUCGCUCAACGGAUAAAAGCUACCCCGGGGAUAACAGGCUUAUCUCCCCCAAGAGUUCACAUCGACGGGGAGGUUUGGCACCUCGAUGUCGGCUCAUCGCAUCCUGGGGCUGUAGUCGGUCCCAAGGGUUGGGCUGUUCGCCCAUUAAAGCGGUACGCUAGCUGGGUUCAGAACGUCGUGAGACAGUUCGGUCCCUAUCCGUCGUGGGCGUAGGAAAUUUGAGAGGAGCUGUCCUUAGUACGAGAGGACCGGGAUGGACAUACCUCUGGUGUACCAGUUGUCGUGCCAACGGCAUAGCUGGGUAGCUAUGUAUGGACGGGAUAAGUGCUGAAAGCAUCUAAGCAUGAAGCCCCCCUCAAGAUGAGAUUUCCCAACUUCGGUUAUAAGAUCCCUCGAAGAUGACGAGGUUAAUAGGUUCGAGGUGGAAGCGUGGUGACACGUGGAGCUGACGAAUACUAAUCGAUCGAAGACUUAAUCAAUUUUUAAA
This 1854-nucleotide ribosomal RNA is filed under the name Staphylococcus epidermidis. RNAcentral's name for it is "bacterial LSU rRNA". It matches the Rfam family "Bacterial large subunit ribosomal RNA", at positions 1074 to 2925 of the family's 2925-position model. Lineage: Bacteria; Bacillati; Bacillota; Bacilli; Caryophanales; Staphylococcaceae. The record is from RNAcentral.